GAGCAACGGAACGUUAUUUUGACCCUGGUAUUCGCAAAGUACUGGUGUACAAGUUAGUGUUAGGGCGUGUUGUUACUCUGAGCUGGUACCCCGUUACCCUUUUGGGGUCGCUAGGGCUGACACACCCCUAGCUUACACCGAAUUUGUACACCGUCAAAACGCGAAUACAUAGGGUCGAAAAACAUUAAAAUCUGCCGUAUAUACCCUCUUGAGGGAGUAUACGCAGAUAUUUUAGUCCUGAAAUAUUAAAUGUUAAUUACAUACUGAAUGAAAAUUAUUUUCAGGUGUAUUGUUAGUGAAUGAGGUAAUGGUGGUAAUAUGAUGCCUCGCAUGAAAUUGGCCUAGUGGUGAUGUAUGAAUCUUGGAGACUAACGUUGUGAUGGGAGCAGUGGUGGAGCGAUGAUUUACGUGAGACCUCUGGCAGCCGAGCAGAAGCUGGUGGCAGAUGGUUUGGUUAGGAAGAUGUGCUACUGAUAGCUGGAUCAUAUGUGGUAAUACCGGAUAGAUUUGUGGGACCCCUUGGCUGUGGAAGAGCACAGCGAGACGCGUCAACUUAAGUGUUAGUGAAGAAGAGUUUGCAGUGGCGUAUAUAGCCUGUUGGAUGCAUAAGUGGACGAGCCUUGACUGUGUUGAAGAGAGAAUUGGAUAAGCACGUGGCAAGGAUACCUGAUGAAGCAGGCUGUGACUGAUAGGUCAGGCUGCGAGGAGCCGCGUCCAAGAGCGUGGUUGACGAGUCCGGCAACCAGAAGGCUUGGUGGACGAGCGGGCCGGGGGAACGCUAAGGGCCGGAAGGACCUCAAGGUAAGGUGACGGGUUUCGUGAAAUGAGUAGAAUGUGGAGGAGAGAAACGUUGUGAUGGGACCAGUGUUGGACUGAUUUGAGUCCGACCGGUGGGAGCCGAGCAGACGCUGGUGGGAGAUGUGCGGGUUGAGAUUUGCGAGAAGAUGGUAAUAAUGGUGGUUGAUUGGUAGAGGGACCGCAGGCCAGCGGAGUGUGACGUCGAACUGAAGGAGAGUGUGAUGUGCAAGAAAUAAUAUUGUUGAAGACAAGGAUGAUGCGACGCAUAUGAAGAGAAAGGCGUAUAUAAUUGUGACCAAAAAUAAUCGAGUAAUGAAGAUGGAUUGGAAUCGAAACUGUUGUUUAAAUAUCAUUUGUUACGUGUAAGGGGAAAGUGUUAAGGAGAGAUGAUAAUGUAGUGAUAUUUUGGUAUAAUAUUUAGUAGACUGUUUAAUGAAGUUAAGUAUUAUAUGUUGAAAGAGUGUGCACAAUGUUUGUUUUGAAAGAAAUGUUGGGUGAAGUUGUUGAAAAUGUGUGAAGAGAAUGUUAUGGAAGGUGUAUAGUAAAUAUGUUGUGGGAGUUAAUAAUUAGUGUAUUAAAUGACGUAAAUGUAUACAUUAUAAAAUGAAUGAAUUGUUUGAUGGUUAUAAUUGAAUGUAAAGUAAAAUAAUAAUAAGUGAUUAAGAACAGUGUUUAAAUGACGUAAUUAUGAAAGUUGUAAAGAGACGAAUGUUUUAGGUACUGAGAAGAAAAAGUAGCAGUUUUUGCUGUGUAUGGAGAUUGCCUAUGUGGGGGGUUGUUUUUAGGCAUUAUGUGUGAGUGUGAAAGUCGAGAUGGAUGUUGUGGGUGUUAAUUGUUGUUUUUACGUUGGUUAUUGUUAUGGAGGUUGUUUGAUUAGUGUAGAGUUGUGUUGUUUGUAUUUUAUUAUGUUGAGUUUGUAUGUUUGAUGUCAUGUGAGUUUUGUUGACAUUACGUCCAGGAUGAAGUGUUUGAGCCGUUUGUGUGGUAUUUAAGCAGCAGGGGUUGAGUUGAUAGUGUGAAAAUGUAGAUUGAGGAUAUGUAGAAUAGAAAAUGAUCAUGUAAGAGGAAUGUAUGGUAAUGUAUAUAAAGUAAAAUAAAUGUGAAAUUAGGAAUUUUAUAGAAUGUUAAAAUAAUUUGUAAUGAAAGGCAGAAAUGAUAGUUGAUUAUAGGAAAUUGAUGUUGAAAAGUUAAUGUUUUAAAGGUGUGUGUGUAAAUUGCCAAUGAUGAGAUUGAACUGAUGUAAAUGUGUAUUAUAGUUUUGAAAUGUAAUUAUGACAGGUAGUGAAAGAGAUUAAUAUGGAGGAAUGAUUUUAGGAGAAAUAUAUGGACGUAGGUUAUAUGUUAAUAGUAGUGUAAAUAUAGUAACUUUGAUAAUGUGUUUAUAUAUGAUAGGUAUAGAUAUAUAUAAAAGCAUAAAUACAUAGGUGAAAGUAAAACUAUAUAUACCGAAAUAGCAUAAAAAGAAGGAAAUAUAGUAAAAAUAUGGAAGAUGUAUAUUGAUAGGAAAGGUAUGCUAUGGUAGGAUGUCAAUGUUUUGGAUACAUAGGGUGCGUGAAGGAAAUGAAACGUAGUUUGUUGUAAGCGUGCUCUGCAGCCAACGUUGUUAGUGUGAUAGUUAAGCCGGCGAUGUUAUUCAGGUAUUAUAUUGAUAAUGGUCAUAUAAAUAUGCGGCCUUGCAGGCGUCGGCUUUAUGGAUACGUGUUACAAAUACGGAUCCGUAGCGUUCCUGGUGUCCAUUUCACUUUGCCUCAGAUCCCGAGAUCUUAAAGCUGUGUUACUGGUGCUCGCAGAUGCUCAUUGACACUAAACUGAUUCACGGCUCUUAAGGCAGUUUGUUAGGGUUACUAUUGAGCUGUAACAUGUUUCGGAGGGCAACAUACACUGGAGAUCACUGUAACGGACUCAGUUACCAUCCUUAUAAUUUGUCAAUCCGGACGCAAGCAUGUUGGGCGUUAAGACGUGUUUAUUAUAUUUGAAAUAUUGUUUGAUUUGUAUAUUGAUUUGAUAAUAUAUACAUAGUGGUCAUAAAAAUCAUUGUUUGGUUGUUUUAUAUUAUUAAUUUAUUUGAAUAGUUGGAAAUGAAUUAUUGCUUGCUAGAUCCUUCCCCCUGGAAUAACUUGUGGGCUUGACUCAGAUACGGUAACUGUUCCUCCCCCCCCCCCCCCCCACCAACCUUUAUUGAAAUUUUUUUUUUUUUGUGUGUUUUUCCCGGUAAAGUUGUGGUCUGGUUGGUAGUUACCUUAGUUCGCUAGCGACUAGUUUCCUGGAAGAUGGUUUUCUCUUCCUUUCCCCUCUAGUCACUCCUUUGCCCUGUGGCAGUGUUCCGUGUCAGAGUUCUCCCCACAGGGUAUCAGCCUUGCUUUAUCCAUUAAUGACACUUGCCCAGUUAGCUUCCGGAAAUGUCCCCCCCCUCCUCUUAGAAACUAAUUUCAGCAGUACCCUUAAGGGGUAGGUUGGAGGAGAAUAUUAUGUUUAAGCGUUAAUGUGUUUAAAUUGAGUGUGGUUGAUGUACACUAAUAUAGUAGUAUGUAAGAGUAUAUUAACGUGAAUUGUUAAAUUGGAUUGUUGUAUUUGUACUGAGUGAAAUUGUGCGGCUUGAAGGGGUAGAAAUUUCCUAAGGUACUAGUGAGUAGUUGACUAUUAUUUAGUGAAAUUGUCUGAAAUAACAUACUUGAAGGUUAAUAAAUAACUUGACCCAACAGUAUGUAAGUUUGUAUAGUUAUCAAUAAGUAGUGUACCAGUUCAAAUUGUUUUGAUGUGUGAUAUCAUUAUGAUACACUGUACCUCGGAGCUAGAAGAAAUGUGGGGCAAGAGUUUAACAUUUAUAUGCUGUGCCUACUAUAUUAAACAGGAUUGUUGUAUUGUGUAUUUGUAGUCACUGAAUGUGUGCGGCGCCACCCCCCCCCCCCCCUUGAGGUUGUGCAAGUAGAGGGGGAGUAGAAAUACCCUAAACUACUGUAUUCCUUUGAGAUACGUUUAUUGAGAGAAUAAUAAAUACAAUUGAAUUGAAGGUUGUUUUGUGUAUAUUUUUGUUAACAACCUGUUGUGUUAUGUCUUAGUUACCGGUGAUAUGUACGUAUGUAUAUAGUGUAUUAUAUAUAAACGUGCUUUGAUGGAAAUUGAAUGGUUUUCAUUUUCCACAAAACUAUCAUUGAAGACGUUUCUGAGGUUGUUUUCCGAAAAAGAUACCUCCAUUUGUAAACUCUAAUAAUAAACAUUAAAUAUGAUA
Molecule: non-coding RNA, 4027 nt
Organism: Procambarus clarkii (red swamp crayfish)
Lineage: Eukaryota; Metazoa; Arthropoda; Malacostraca; Decapoda; Cambaridae
Source: RefSeq, a predicted model, not a curated record